Molecule: long non-coding RNA, 187 nt
Organism: Sinocyclocheilus rhinocerous
Lineage: Eukaryota; Metazoa; Chordata; Actinopteri; Cypriniformes; Cyprinidae
Exons: 3
Source: RefSeq, a predicted model, not a curated record
UUCUUAUACAUGCGCGCACCAGUUUCUGAUCAAAAUCAGAUAAAACUAUAGCUUGAAUGUGCCUUCCUACAAGCAGUAGAAAGUUUUCAGUGCUAUAAUGUGUUUAAAUCGUACGAUAAGAAACUAACCUGAUUUUAGCGAAGAAAUCCUAAUUCCUGUUGUUAGUAGAGGUUAAAUCUAUUUUCUG